UACGUAGGGGGCGAGCGUUGUCCGGAGUUACUGGGCGUAAAGGGCACGCAGGCGGUCCGCCACGUUUGGGGUGACAGCUCUCGGCUUAACCGAGAGAGUGUCUCAAAGACGGUCGGACUUGAGGGCCAGAGAGGGACAUGGAACUCCGGGUGGAGUGGUGAAAUGCGUAGAGAUCCGGAAGAACACCAAAGGCGAAGGCAGUGUCCUGGCUGGUACCUGACGCUCAGGUGCGAAAGCGAGGGGAGCGAACGGG
Molecule: ribosomal RNA, 253 nt
Filed under: uncultured prokaryote
Description: partial 16S ribosomal RNA
Rfam family: Bacterial small subunit ribosomal RNA
Source: RNAcentral